UAGACCAUACAAAGAAAAGUCUACUGAGGCCAUAUUUCAUCCAACUUUGUCAUUUAAGACAGAAAAGGAAUAUGAGACCUAGAAGAGUCUGUGCGGAAAAGGAAGCUUUGGAAUUUAUUGCUUCUGGAACAGAUAAAGACAUCUUUCAGAAAAAAGUUAUAAGUCAAGAGAAAGGUUAUGGAGUAAUUGCCUGCAAAGACAUUGAGCCAGGAGAAUUCCUGCUUGAGUAUGCUGGAAGACACAUAACUGGAUCUGAAGGAGAGGCUCUGUUUAAAGAGUACUCAGCUGAAGAUGCCGCGUUUCUGUACUUCUACUCCUACCAGGGACAUUUAUAUUGUGUUGAUGGCAGUAAAGACACAGAACGACUUGGACGAUUCAUUAACGAUGAUCACAUUAAGCCGAACAGCAAAAUUAAAAUAAUAUGUGAUGGUGAAAAAAGACCACAUUUAUGUGCGUUUGCAACUACAAAAAUCCCUGCAGGAGAAGAAAUUGUCUUUGACUAUGGAGAUCCUGACUGCCCAUGGAGACAUGAAAUAGCCAAUAUGGAUAAUUCCUUGCCUCAACAACACAAUGAGAUAGACAUCUCAGAGAAUGUUUGCGAUGAUGUGACGGAAUCAUCAUUAUCCAACAAUGAAGAGGAAUGCUCUAAAUGUGAAAUGAACAACAUGGAUCAACAGCUUUCCCUUUUCGUGGAAAUGUUGGAAGAAGAAGAAGAGGGAGAAAAAGAGGAGGGUGAAGAAGAAGAAGAGGAAGAAAAAGAGGAUAAUGAUGAAGAAGAAGUAAGCGAAACAAAAGAAGUACAAGGGAAAAUAGAAGCACAAAAAGCCAUCCGUGGUAAACCACUUAAGAAGACAAUGACAGAAAUGGAUGAAAGUGCUAAUGAUUGUCAAAAUCAACAUAUGAUUAAGGUGAAAACGUCCUCAAACAAACCAUGCCAACGGAUCUACGACAAAAAGAAUGUCUGCCUUUACUGUGAAAAGCCAUAUGCAAAAAUAACAAGACAUCUCAAACAAAAACAUCAUGGAGAAGUUGAAGUUGCAAAGGCAUUGUCACAUAAGCAAGGCUCAAGCAUGCGAAAUCUUUUAUUAACUAAAGUACGGAACCUGGGAAAUUUCCACCAUAAUAGUGCAGUCCUAUCCACAGGAAAAGGGGAGAUCAUACCAAAAAGGCAAGCUUUGAAUGUGUCAGUAGCAACUGACUACCUGCCUUGCAAGUUUUGCUUUGGUAUGUAUGUCAAAACUGACCUCUGGAGGCAUCAUAAACGUUGCAAGUUACAAAAAAAAGAGAAUAUUCUGGUGAGGCGGAAGGUUCAGGCAAGCUGUUCCCUGCUGUUGCCCAUGGACUCAACAAUUUCAGCUGGACUUCAAAAGAUUAUUGGAGACAUGACAUAUGAUGCUGUAACCCAGGUGGUAAAAUCAGACACAUUAAUUUUGUCAUUAGGUGAAAGAAUGUUCCUAAAGAAUGGUGAAGUUGGACGAUACCGCGCUGACAUCAGAAAUAAGAUGAGGGAACUUGCCAGACUACUUCUUGUGGCAAGAUCCAUUGACAAGGACAUUGUUACUUUGAAGGACUUGAUCAACCCAGCAAAGUUUAACACAGUACUUGAAGCUGUGAAAAAGAUGACCGGAUUUGACGGAUCAACAAAUAGAUUUUCAGUUCCAUCAACAGCACUUAAACUACGACAUUCUCUUAUUAAAGUGGCACAAAUUUUGCAAGGGGAGGCUUUACGCCACGAAGAUGAAGCUUUAAAGGGACGAGCAGAGCACUUUAAUAAGCUUAUUGAACUGGAAUGGACAAUCCAUGUGUCAUCAAAUGCACUAAAAACACUAUACCAGAAAAAAUGGAAUAGUGCACAAAUUCUACCUCUAGCAGAAGACAUCAGGAAGCUUCAAAAGCAUUUAAAGUAUCUUGAGGAGGUCAACAAACAAGAACUCAAUGACCAUCCAUCCAAAAGCUCAUGGAGUGAUCUCUCCCAAGUCACUCUUUCACAGUUAAUUUUGUUUAAUCGGCGUCGUGAAGGAGAAGUUUCUAGAAUGGAGGUCAAAACAUAUCUGCAGAGAAACCACAUCAACAUACAGGAUGAUAUUUUGGAGAGUCUAUCACCGUUUGAGAAGAAAUUAUGUGAGAAUCUCACCAGAAUAGAAAUAAGAGGAAAGAGGGGUCGGAAAGUUCCAAUAUUAUUACCAGCAAAUGUAAAGGAAUCAGUAGAACUUCUAAUCAAAACAAGAGAAGAUGCUGGGAUUUCUCAAGCUAACCCUUACAUAUUUGCCCGUCCCAAUUAUGGAUCACUAGAGAACAUGCGUGGAUGUGACAGCUUAAAGCGAUACGCUAAAAGCUGUGGGGCUAAACAUCCAGAGAACAUCACUUCUACUAAAUUGAGAAAACAUGUGGCUACAGUUUCUCAGUUACUCAACUUAAAAACACAUGAACUUGACCAGCUUGCCACAUUUAUGGGACAUGACAUCUAUGUCCAUAGGGAGUUUUAUAGACUCCCUGAAGAAACGUUGCAAAUGGCAAAAGUCAGCAGAAUUCUUUUUGCCUUGCAAAGUGGAAUAAGCAAAUAUAAAGGACAAUCUUUGGAGGACAUAACACCUAACAUAAACUCUGAAGAGGGCUCCAGCUCAGACUCAGAGGAUGGUAAUUCUAAAAAACAGACAAGCAGAGGCGAAAAUGCUGACAAAGAGAAAGAUCUUUCUGAAAUUAGGGAUCUCGACUCUGGAAAGGCUGCAGCCUCUCAUGAGGUGAUUGGACAUAUGAGUAAUCCACUAUUGUCCUUCAGUCAAAAACGAAAACCCAAAAAGCCCUGGUCAGAAACAGAGAGGAAAGUCAUAGAACUCUAUUUCAAGAGCAACUUUAAAGAAAUGAAGGCUCCUGGAAAAGUGGACUGUGAAAAAUGCUUAAACAAAAAUACAAUUUUAAAGGAUAAUGGAAGAGAUUGGAAAGCAGUUAAAUACUUUGUGCACAACAGAAUAAUUUCGAUUAAGAGGAAUUUGACUCAAGGGUAUCAUGCUCUAUAUCCCUGAGAGCUUGUGAUGUGGACUAUCAGUGUUGAAUCAUAACUGUAAUAGUCUAUGUAAAUGGAGCAUCAGUGUGUCAAAUAAUUGAUAUUAGCUUGUUUUAGAUGCAUGUCUAAACUUUUCAAGCAACAAAGUCUAUUCUGCUUGGGCCUCUCAGUUAUUGAAUGCCUUGUUAUGACUUUGGUUUUAGCCACUUUAAAAUUUUACAAAUUUCUUUAUUUUACCUUUAAUACCACCUUUUUUCCUUUACCAAACUAUAUAUGUUUAUUGUGAUUUUAAAUUUACAGAAAGUGAAAGCAACUUAUUUAAAAAGUAUUACAGAAAAAAAUAUAGUAUUAUUUAAUGUUAUUGAUUUUAUUGUUGUCAACCUGUAGCCUGGAGCCACUUAUCACUGAGGGUGGAAUUGCACUACUGCAAGGGGGGUGGGGACGGGUGGGGUUGGGGGGCUGGUCUGGGGUGCUCUAUUAGUGAGCUUAUGCUAUUUUGCAGGUAAACUCAGCUUGACAGUUUAUCACUUUGAA
Molecule: non-coding RNA, 3538 nt
Organism: Danio rerio (zebrafish)
Lineage: Eukaryota; Metazoa; Chordata; Actinopteri; Cypriniformes; Danionidae
Source: RefSeq, a predicted model, not a curated record